CAGUAGCCGCGGGAAUACGUAGGUAGCAAGCGUUGUCCGGAAUUAUUGGGCGUGAAGGGCUCGCAGGCGGUUUCUUAAGUCUGAUGUGAAAGCCCCCGGCUCAACCGGGGAGGGUCAUUGGAAACUGGGAAACUUGAGUGCAGAAGAGGAGAGUGGAAUUCCACGUGUAGCGGUGAAAUGCGUAGAGAUGUGGAGGAACACCAGUGGCGAAGGCGACUCUCUGGUCUGUAACUGACGCUGAGGAGCGAAAGCGUGGGGAGCGAACAGGAUUAGAUACCCCGGUAGUCCCUGUCUCUUAUAC
RNAcentral lists this ribosomal RNA (301 nucleotides) under uncultured bacterium. RNAcentral's name for it is "partial 16S ribosomal RNA". It matches the Rfam family "Bacterial small subunit ribosomal RNA", at positions 509 to 807 of the family's 1533-position model. The record is from RNAcentral.